Molecule: microRNA precursor, 217 nt
Organism: Arabidopsis thaliana (thale cress)
Lineage: Eukaryota; Viridiplantae; Streptophyta; Magnoliopsida; Brassicales; Brassicaceae
Rfam family: MIR854 microRNA precursor family
Source: Rfam
GGAGACCAAUUGGGAGAACUAUGACACGAGCCGCUACCACUUUGAAGAACACAAGCCCCCUUCACGAGAAAGCAAGAGUCUCGCUGAAGCACACCGGAAGCUCAGUCUAACCCAAAGGUGGUGCAAGUUUCAAGACAAGAUCAUCCAUAAGUGUGUCAAGGCCAUUGACAACAUGCAGAAGGCAAUCAGUUGCACCACAUCCACUAGUGCGAUCACC